ACGUAGGGUGCAAGCAUUAUCCGGAGUGACUGGGCGUAAAGAGUUGCGUAGGUGGUUAGUAAAGUGAAUAGUGAAACCUGGUGGCUCAACCAUACAGACUAUUAUUCAAACUCACUAACUCGAGAGUGGUAGAGGUAACUGGAAUUUCUUGUGUAGGAGUGAAAUCCGUAGAUAUAAGAAGGAACACCAAUGGCGUAGGCAGGUUACUGGACCAUUUCUGACACUGAGGCACGAAAGCGUGGGGAGCGAACGGGA
RNAcentral lists this ribosomal RNA (255 nucleotides) under uncultured prokaryote. RNAcentral's name for it is "partial 16S ribosomal RNA". It matches the Rfam family "Bacterial small subunit ribosomal RNA", at positions 525 to 777 of the family's 1533-position model. The record is from RNAcentral.